UACGUAGGGCGCAAGCGUUGUCCGGAAUCAUUGGGCGUAAAGAGCUCGUAGGCGGCCUGUCGCGUCCGCUGUGAAAUCCCGGGGCUUAACCCCGGGCGUGCAGUGGAUACGGGCUGGCUGGAGGCAGGCAGGGGAGAACGGAAUUCCCGGUGUAGCGGUGGAAAUGCGCAGAUAUCGGGAGGAACACCGGGUGGCGAAGGCGGUUCUCUGGGCCUGUACUGACGCUGAGGAGCGAAAGCGUGGGGAGCGAACAGG
Molecule: ribosomal RNA, 255 nt
Filed under: uncultured bacterium
Lineage: Bacteria
Description: partial 16S ribosomal RNA
Rfam family: Bacterial small subunit ribosomal RNA
Source: RNAcentral